Molecule: ribosomal RNA, 253 nt
Filed under: uncultured bacterium
Lineage: Bacteria
Description: partial 16S ribosomal RNA
Rfam family: Bacterial small subunit ribosomal RNA
Source: RNAcentral
GACGAACCGUCCUAACGUUGUUCGGAAUCACUGGGCUUAAAGGGCGCGUAGGCGGCUUGCCAAGUCAGGGGUGAAAUCCUGCAGCUUAACUGUAGAAGGGCCUUUGAUACUGGCAAGCUCGAGGGAGGUAGGGGUAUGUGGAACUUCCGGUGGAGCGGUGAAAUGCGUUGAUAUCGGAAGGAACGCCGGUGGCGAAAGCGACGUACUGGACCUCUUCUGACACUGAGGCACGAAAGCGUGGGGAUCGAACAGG